Molecule: long non-coding RNA, 1175 nt
Organism: Hyla sarda
Lineage: Eukaryota; Metazoa; Chordata; Amphibia; Anura; Hylidae
Exons: 3
Source: RefSeq, a predicted model, not a curated record
UGUAUCUAAGCCUAAACUGUAGGUUACUGUCUCCUCAGCAUUUGUAUCUAAGCCUAUAGUAUGUGUGAUACUGCCUCCUGAACAUCUGUAUCUAAGCCAAGUUUAAUACAGUCUCCUCAGCAUUCGUAUGUAAGCCUGUAGUAUGUGUGAUACUGCCUCCUGAACAUCUGUAUCUAAGCCUAUAAUGUCUAAUACAGUCUCCUCUGCAUUUGUAUCUAAGCCUAUAGUAUGUGUUAUACUGCCUCCUGAACAUCUGUAUCUAAGCCUAAAUUGUAGGUUACUGUCUCCUCAGGAUUUGUAUCUAAGCCUGUAGUAUGUGUGAUACUGUCUCCUGAACAUCUGUAUCUAAGCCUAUAAUGUCCAAUACAGUCUCCUCAACAUUUGUAUCUAAGCCUGUAGUAUGUGUGAUACUGCCUCCUGAACAUCUGUAUCUAAGCCUAUAAUGUCCAAUACAGUCUCCUCAGCAUUUGUAUCUAAGCCUGUAGUAUGUGUGAUACUGCCUCCUGAACAUCUGUUUCUAAGCCUAUAAUGUUUAAUACAGUCUCCUCAGCAUUUGUAUCUAAGCCUAUAGUAUGUGUGAUACUGCCUCCUUAACAUCUGUAUCUAAGCCUAAACUGUAGGUUACUGUCUUCUCAGCAUUUGUAUCUAAGCCUAUAGGAUGUGUGAUACUGCCUCCUGAACAUCUGUUUCUAAGCCUAUAAUGUUUAAUACAGUCUCCUCAGCAUUUGUAUCUAAGCCUAUAGUAUGUGUGAUACUGCCUCCUGAACAUCUGUAUCUAAGCCUAAACUGUAGGUUACUGUCUUAUCAGCAUUUGUAUCUAAGCCUAUAGGAUGUGUGAUACUGCCUCAUGAACAUCUGUAUCUAAGCCUAAACUUGUAUCCAAGCUCUUAUGUGUAGUACUGUCUCUGAAGAAGAUACUCCCAGGACUUACAGAAGGGCUGAACUGUACUACAAUAAGACAGUUGCAAGAAAUGAAAUUGCAUAAAAACAUCCAAUUGGGUAACAAAUAACAAGUACAGGAACUCACCAAUAGAUGACAGAAACCAAAUAAGGAUGGGACAGAUAAUGACACAAGCUAAUUGAAGCAGACAGAUGAUGAAUAUGAACAAACUAAAAAUAAACUAAAUAGCUAUCCCUGAAUCUUUUCCUAGAUCUAUCCCUGAACAUUGACCCUU